GAGACAUCAUCCCAGUUAAUGAUUGAGAUGGGGAGUCAGAAUCAUCACCUCUCCCCACUGCAUUCAGGCUCAUUGACUUCUUGUGAUUUUUCUCUAGAGGCUCUCUUGUUCAUGCAGGUUGUUGUUCCCCCAGGUGACUGAAGGAAGAGAAGCUAAGAAAGAGAUCUGGUCAUUUGUUAAUAACUUAUCCUUCAUUUCUGCUUCUUUGAUCUAGAGAAAAGAACCAACUAGUUUGGCCAGGUGUUGUGUGAUCAAGAGAUUUGAAGGAUGUGCUAGAGCGUGGAGGUGCCUGGUUUAAGGCCAGUUCUUGGAAACUGCCAUGAACUCAGUGCUGCUCUGGAUGGAAGAGUUUAUGGCGUGGCUGCAGUCUGCUCAUCAUGCAGUCAGCUUUCUUUCUGGUGUCUGUUAUGGCUCCCGCCAAGCCCGGCCUCCAGGCUGCAGAGCAGAUGUGUCCUGUUCAAAGGCCUCACCACUUGCACCUCUCAGGCUCCUGACUGCCUUUCUGCAGAGCAGUGAGUUCCCCAGGAUCAUGAAUAAGCCAGUGCUGGACUACGGAUUGGAGUAAGAUGCUAUCAUCACUAAUGUGACUUCAAGAUUCAUUAUAGU
Molecule: long non-coding RNA, 606 nt
Filed under: Capra hircus (goat)
Lineage: Eukaryota; Metazoa; Chordata; Mammalia; Artiodactyla; Bovidae
Description: lncRNA (ENSCHIG00000004365.1)
Source: RNAcentral